RNAcentral lists this long non-coding RNA (1748 nucleotides) under Ovis aries (sheep). Its description in RNAcentral is "lncRNA (ENSOARG00000026860.1)". Lineage: Eukaryota; Metazoa; Chordata; Mammalia; Artiodactyla; Bovidae. The record is from RNAcentral.
ACCAAAGCAGCAUCUUUUCUUUCAUUUACGACAUUUGUGAUUCUUAAGUCUCUUCGGAAUUUCAAUCCUUAUAUUGGGUUAUAUUGGCAAUCUUACUUCAGGAAUUUAGGCAGAAAUGCAGUUUCCCUCCAUCAUGGUUGGACACUCCCAGCUGCAGGAUAAUAAAGCAAAGCAGGAAGAUGGAAUAUGGCUGGGGUUGGUGGAGUGAAAGAUACAGAAAAGAGAAGUAAGAGAGUAAAAGGCAAGAAAGAUACCCAUAGACCUGAGAGAAAUGGGAAUAAGUUCUGUACAUCAUCUCUGGUCAGUUCCAGAUACAGCUGUGGCAACUCUCUCUCAUGAUCUAGUGGGCUCCUGUUCCUUGGAUAUGCUCAGCACCCAGCUCUCUUCAAAGGGCUCUCUACGUGUACCCAUCUAUGUGCCAUGGAGUCAAGAUGCACAGGAUCUGGGCUGACCUAGGCUUGCAAACAGGAAAGCUAAUCAAGUCAUUGCCCCAAGGGAGUCCAAAGAGCAUGUAAGUCAUUUGCCCCAAGCCCCCAGCUCUGGUUGCCCUUCAACAGAAUGGCUGAAUCAAUUAGCCUAAUUAAAUGAGGUGGAAAAUUACUCCUGCAAAUAAGUUGCCAUGAAAGGCAAGUCUUAAUUUGGCCUAAGGGAAAGCAAACAGUUCGCCCCUGUGUCUUGCCAGAGAGUCUAUGAAUGGGGAAUAAUUGGCAAUUUAUGUGUGUGUGUGUGUUUAAGGCCAUGGUACGAAUAUGUUUUUGUUGACAAGCAGCUGAGGCUUUCCCUGGUAUAAAGAGGGUUCUAAUUAAAGGAUAGUCUAAUUGUGUAUGUUGGCUGAAAUGCUGCAUGUGUACUCUGGCUGCACACAUGGGGCCUGGGACCCGACCCACUGCGGGGAGCUGGGGCUGGGGCCAACAUUGACCCCAGGAAGCAAGACCUCACAUCAGCCCAAUCAGCCUCUGCUUCCUUCUUGAGGGACAUUUCCCAGCUCAGCACACCAUGCAGAGAGAGUCCGAGGAUUCUACUGAAAGCAUCCUAGAAAGAUAAGCUAUGGAAUUGGAAAGUAAAAUUAAAAAGGGUGCCUUCUUGGCUCAGACGGUAAAGCAUUUGCCUACAAUGCGGGGGACCUGGGUUCGAUCUCUGGGUCGGGAAGAUCCCCUGGAGUAGGAAAUGGCAACCCACUUCAGUACUCUUGCCUGGAAAAUCCCAUGGAUAGAGGAGCCUGGUAGGCUACAGGCCAUGGGGUCACAAACAGUUGGACUUGACUGAGCAACUUCACUUUCACUUUCAUCCCAUGGAAUCCCAUUAAGAAUGAUGCUGGAGAAGUGUUAUUUCUGAGUAUAUUGAAAUUAUAAGGAAAUUAUAAGGAAAAACAAACAAACAAAACAGCUGCAUGAUGAUCUAUGUCAGUGUGGAUGUAGCCAUCCGGCUCAUCCAUCCACAACCCAGCACCCAACCUCUGGGAUCAUCCCAGCACAGCUCCCUCACCUGCCCCCACCCUCUGCACGGGAGACUCCGAGACCUCUGCGUAGCUCAGGGGCUGUAGGUCCUUGGGAUCCUCAGAAAGGGGUAUCUACAAACACAGCCUAGCUCUCUUUUGCCCAUAUUGGCCCUCUUGGGCACUGUAACUUUGAUAUUCUUUUCUAGGGUGGAGGAAGGGGGGGAGAAAAAGAAAGCAAAAUGUCUUUUUUGGAUGUCUUUCUCAAAGAUCUCUUCCCCAACAGAGAAGAAGUCUUGAAAGGAAGAAGGAU